AUUGAACGCUGGCGGCAGGCCUAACACAUGCAAGUCGAGCGGAUGAAGGGAGCUUGCUCCUGGAUUCAGCGGCGGACGGGUGAGUAAUGCCUAGGAAUCUGCCUGGUAGUGGGGGAUAACGUCCGGAAACGGGCGCUAAUACCGCAUACGUCCUGAGGGAGAAAGUGGGGGAUCUUCGGACCUCACGCUAUCAGAUGAGCCUAGGUCGGAUUAGCUAGUUGGCGGGGUAAAGGCCUACCAAGGCGACGAUCCGUAACUGGUCUGAGAGGAUGAUCAGUCACACUGGAACUGAGACACGGUCCAGACUCCUACGGGAGGCAGCAGUGGGGAAUAUUGGACAAUGGGCGAAAGCCUGAUCCAGCCAUGCCGCGUGUGUGAAGAAGGUCUUCGGAUUGUAAAGCACUUUAAGUCGGGAGGAAGGGCAGUAAGUUAAUACCUUGCUGUUUUGACGUUACCAACAGAAUAAGCACCGGCUAACUUCGUG
Molecule: ribosomal RNA, 484 nt
Filed under: uncultured bacterium
Lineage: Bacteria
Description: partial 16S ribosomal RNA
Rfam family: Bacterial small subunit ribosomal RNA
Source: RNAcentral